CAGGACGAACGCUGGCGGCGUGCCUAACACAUGCAAGUCGAGCGAGGAGAUCCUUCGGGAUGAUCCUAGCGGCGGACGGGUGAGUAACACGUGGGCAACCUGCCUCAGUAGAGAGGAAUAGCCUUCCGAAAGGGAGAUUAAUACCUCAUAACAUUGCAGUUUCGCAUGGAACAGCAAUUAAAGGAGCAAUCCGCUAUGAGAUGGGCCCGCGGCGCAUUAGCUAGUUGGUGAGGUAACGGCUCACCAAGGCGACGAUGCGUAGCCGACCUGAGAGGGUGAUCGGCCACAUUGGGACUGAGACACGGCCCAGACUCCUACGGGAGGCAGCAGUGGGGAAUAUUGCACAAUGGGGGAAACCCUGAUGCAGCAACGCCGCGUGAGUGAUGACGGCCUUCGGGUUGUAAAGCUCUGUCUUCAGGGACGAUAAUGACGGUACCUGAGGAGGAAGCCACGGCUAACUACGUGCCAGCCGCCGC
RNAcentral lists this ribosomal RNA (476 nucleotides) under uncultured bacterium. Its description in RNAcentral is "bacterial SSU rRNA". It matches the Rfam family "Bacterial small subunit ribosomal RNA", at positions 25 to 518 of the family's 1533-position model. The record is from RNAcentral.